RNAcentral lists this long non-coding RNA (204 nucleotides) under Elaeis guineensis (African oil palm). Its description in RNAcentral is "long non-coding RNA (EGUI_LNC019840)". The record is from RNAcentral. Lineage: Eukaryota; Viridiplantae; Streptophyta; Magnoliopsida; Arecales; Arecaceae.
GCAAAUGCAAGGAUGGCAGGGGGAAAUAGUACAUAUCGCUAAUUAUGUAAUCACCAGUACAAGUAGGUCUAGGUUUCUUGAUCUUAACUUAUUCUCUCCUCCUCCAUAAAGUCCAAAGUGACAUGACAGAAGCUACCUUACCUUUGAUCUCUGGUAUAUUGCAAAAGCAGAUGGCCGACACACACACACACACACACACACACA